UUCUGCAGGGUCCCUGGGCA
This 20-nucleotide microRNA is filed under the name Eptesicus fuscus (big brown bat). RNAcentral describes it as "efu-miR-9307". Lineage: Eukaryota; Metazoa; Chordata; Mammalia; Chiroptera; Vespertilionidae. The record is from miRBase by way of RNAcentral.